UUUUCAGCUAAAUAUCUAGUGAAUUUGGUAACAGGUGCCUCUGAGCAUACAGUGAGUGGUGGCAACAUCUGCCAUUUCCAAAGAUGGAGAAUUACAUUUUUGUAUGUUUGUUGGUGUUCUUACUUUGAUUCUUCUCUGUGUUACUACUCUUUCUGCAGAGAAUCUGUCCUAAAAAAUUAUUUCUCUCAUUAUUCAUUGUAGAAAUCUGUGUCAAAUUUAUUUUCCUUAAUUUCAAAGCCCUUUUAUUGCGAUGUCAUAUGAUGGUGAAGAUAGCCUCUUUUGUUUCAAACUGAAAGUUAUGCUCUAUUUCUAUUUUGGGCACAUUAACAGUUGAAUCUAAAACUGCACUUUGAUGUAAAAUCAGACGGAUUACAAUACGUUGAUACUUCAGCAAUGACUCUAGCUGUUGGAAAAAACAAACUUGGCCUGCACAAGAUGCAUGUUUCAGCCUGCUAUGCUUCAACUACUCCACUUAAGGAAAGUUGUCUGGUCUGACCUGUGACAAAACCCUAAUAUCAAACGGGAACAGCUGCAGCACGAGGGGACUGAGGAAGACCUGCCCUGGGAACUACCUUCCAGUAAUUCCAACAUGGCCAUCUAUUCAGUGCGAAUAUACACUUUCCGACCCGGCCAUUUCGAGGGCCCUCCCAUCGUCUUCGGACCCAUGACCGGGAGACCACCCUUCCUGCAAGAAGUCUACAUCAUCCCAGCCGGACCCACCCUUCCUGAUAGCUAACUAUUCAAUCCAUGCUCAGAGCUUGGAAGUAACUAGUUACAAGUAAUGAAUUACUUGUAAUUUAUUACUUUUUUGAGUAACAAGUGCGUAACUUCAUUACAUUUUGCUGGUAAUAGAAUGAGUAGUAACUUCAUUACUUUUGAGGAGUAAUGGUAAUGUUUCCAGCAUUACUUUUGCGCAUUACUUGGGGGGGGUUUGCUGACGACACUA
Rhineura floridana is the source of this 946-nucleotide long non-coding RNA. RefSeq lists it as uncharacterized. The transcript is spliced from 3 exons. The record is from RefSeq and is a predicted model, not a curated record. NCBI's taxonomy places the organism in Eukaryota, Metazoa, Chordata, Lepidosauria, Squamata, Rhineuridae.